Molecule: unclassified non-coding RNA, 361 nt
Filed under: uncultured Lasiosphaeriaceae
Lineage: Eukaryota; Fungi; Ascomycota; Sordariomycetes; Sordariales; Lasiosphaeriaceae
Description: sequence contains ITS1
Rfam family: 5.8S ribosomal RNA (bases 1-105)
Source: RNAcentral
GAAAUGCGAUACGUAAUGUGAAUUGCAGAUUUCAGUGAAUCAUCGAAUCUUUGAACGCACAUUGCGCCCGCCAGUAUUCUGGCGGGCAUGCCUGUUCGAGCGUCAUUUCAACCAUCAAGCCCCCGGCUUGUGUUGGAGCCCUGCGGCUGCCGCAGGCUCCCAAAUCCAGUGGCGGGCUCGUCGUCGUACCGAGUGCAGUAAACAUCCUCGCUCAGGGCACGUGACGGGUUCCGGCCGUGAAACCACCUUCAUAACCCAAGGUUGAUUGGGGUCGCCGGCGGGCGCCGGCCGGGCCUACAGAGCGGGUGACGAAGCCCCAUACGCUCGAGGACCGGACGCGGUGCCGCCGCUGCCUUUCGGG